This 647-nucleotide ribosomal RNA is filed under the name uncultured Enterobacteriaceae bacterium. RNAcentral's name for it is "bacterial SSU rRNA". It matches the Rfam family "Bacterial small subunit ribosomal RNA", at positions 855 to 1502 of the family's 1533-position model. The record is from RNAcentral. Lineage: Bacteria; Pseudomonadati; Pseudomonadota; Gammaproteobacteria; Enterobacterales; Enterobacteriaceae.
ACGCGAUAAAUCGACCCCCUUGGGAGUACGGCCGCAAGGUUAAAACUCAAAUGAAUUGACGGGGGCCCGCACAAGCGGUGGAGCAUGUGGUUUAAUUCGAUGCAACGCGAAGAACCUUACCUGGUCUUGACAUCCAUAGAAUUCUGCAGAGAUGUGGGAGUGCCUUCGGGAACUAUGAGACAGGUGCUGCAUGGCUGUCGUCAGCUCGUGUUGUGAAAUGUUGGGUUAAGUCCCGCAACGAGCGCAACCCUUAUUCUUUGUUGCCAGCGAUUUGGUCGGGAACUCAAAGGAGACUGCCGUUGAUAAAGCGGAGGAAGGUGGGGACGACGUCAAGUCAUCAUGGCCCUUACGACCAGGGCUACACAUGUGCUACAAUGGCGUAUACAAAGGGAAGCGAAGGUGCGAGCUGGAGCGGAUCUCAUAAAGUACGUCUAAGUUCGGAUUGGAGUCUGCAACUCGACUCCAUGAAGUCGGAAUCGCUAGUAAUCGUAGAUCAGAAUGCUACGGUGAAUACGUUCCCGGGCCUUGUACACACCGCCCGUCACACCAUGGGAGUGGGUUGCACCAGAAGUAGAUAGCUUAACCGCGAGGGGGGCGUUUACCACGGUGUGAUUCAUGACUGGGGUGAAGUCGUAACAAGGUAACCA